AUUUUAGAAGAGUUUCACAUGUACAGAAUUAUUAGAAAGACAACUUGGAAGACCAUCUGGCAUACCUAAAUAUUUUGGAGAACAGGAGGUGCGUAUUUCCUUUGCCUUUCUUAGGCUACCUACAUAU
Molecule: small nucleolar RNA, 127 nt
Organism: Dipodomys ordii (Ord's kangaroo rat)
Lineage: Eukaryota; Metazoa; Chordata; Mammalia; Rodentia; Heteromyidae
Source: Ensembl